Molecule: long non-coding RNA, 2951 nt
Filed under: Homo sapiens (human)
Lineage: Eukaryota; Metazoa; Chordata; Mammalia; Primates; Hominidae
Description: HSALNT0031790
Source: RNAcentral
AUAUAUGAUGAACUCUCAGAAGAAAACACAGGCAAACAUCUUCUUGGCCUUGGAUUUGGCAGUCUUAGGUAUGACACCAAAAAGCAACAAAAGAAAAGAAUAAGUAAAUAGAGCUUCAUUAAAAUUAAAAAUUUGUGUAUCAAAGGACACUAUCAAGAGAGUAAAAAGGGGCCAAGCAGGGUGGCUCAGGCCUGUAAUGGGAGGCCAUUACAGGAGAGGGAGGCCAAGGCAGGAGAAUCACCUGAGCUCAGGAGUUCAAGAACAGCCUGGGCAACAUAGUGAGAUCUUGUGUCUACCAAAAAUAAAAAAUAAUAAAAAAUUAGCAGGCGUGUAACCUGCAUCUGUAGUUCCAGCGACUCAAAGGCUAAGGUGGGAGGACUGCUUGAACCUGGGAGAUGGAGGCUGCAGUGAGCUAUGAUCACACAACUGCACUCCAGCCUGGGCAAGAGAGUAAGACCCUGUCUCAAAAUAAAAUAAAAUAGAAUAAGAGAGAAAGUAAAAAGAAAACCCACAGAGAGGGAAAUAUAUUUGUAAAUUAUACCUCUGAUAAGUAUCUAGUAUCCAGAAUAUGUACAGAACUCCUACAGCUGAACGAUUAAAAGACAAAGAGCUCCAUUUGAAAAUGGGCAAAGCGGGCUGGGAGCAGUGGCUCAUGCCCUGCACUUUGGGAGGCUGAAGUGGGAGGAUCUCUUGAGGCCAGGGGUUCAAGAACAGCCUGGGCAAAAUAGCAAGACCCUGUCUCUACAAAAUAAAAAUUAAAAAUUUAGCUGGCCAUGGUGGUGCAUGCCUGUCAUCCCAGCUACUUGGGAGCCUGGGGCAAGAAGGUCUCUUAAGCUCAGGAUGCAGUGAGCCAUGAUCAUGGCACUGCACUUCCUCCUGGACAAUAAAGUGAGACCACCCUCCAUCUCUUAAAAAAAAUGGGCAAAGGACUUGAAUGCACAUUUCUCCAAAAAAGAUAUACAAAUAGCCAACAAGCACAUGAAAGGAUGCUCAAUAUUAUUAGUCAUUAGGAAAUCAGAACCAUGAUGAGAUACAACUUCAAACUCACCAGAUUGGCCAUAAUUUUUUAAGUAGAAAAUCAGCAUUGAUGAGGAGGUAGAGAAUUUGGAACCCUCAUAUGUUGCUGAUAAAAAUGCAAAAUGGCACAGCCACUGUGCAAGACAGUUUUGUGGUUCCUUAAAAAGUUAAAUAUAGAAUUACCACAUGACCCAGCCAUUCCAUUUCUAGGGAUAUAUUUGAAAGGAUUGAAAACAGUUAUUCAAGCAAAUACUUGUACACAAAUGCUCAUAGCAGAAAUCUCCACAAUAGCCAAAAGGUGUAAACAACUAAAAUGUUCAUCAAUUGAUAAAUAGUUAAGCAAAAUGUGGUAUAAUCACACAAUGGAAUAUUAUUUGGCCAUAAAAAGAAUGAAGUACUGAGUCAUGCUACAACACGGAUGAACCUUGAAAGCAUUAAGUUAGGUGAAAGCAACCAGACACAAAAGGUCACAUAUUGUAUGAUUUCAUUUAUAUGAAAUAUCCAGAACAGGUAAAUUAUCAGAGGCUGUGGGUAGAGGAGGAAGGGGGAAUGACUACUAAUGAGUACGUGAUUUUUUCCCGGGGGAGAGUGGCCGGAGGGUGAUGAAAAUGUUUUGGAGUUAGAUGGAGGUGAUGGUUGCACGACGCUGUGCAUGUACUAAACGCCACUGAAUUGUACACUUAGUUAAUGAUUAAUUUUAUGUUAUGUGAAUUUCAUCCCAAUUUUUUUUAAAAAAGGAAAGAACAUUCAAGCAAAUACAAAUCAGUUAAGGAAUGUAAAAGUAGUCUGCAAAAAUUAAGAUUUUGUAUGAUGACUGUAGCUUAGCAGUUGUUUGUGAGCAUAUGUUGUCCUCCUUUUGGGGGAUUUCCAGACAGAGGACUAUGCAAGGAAAUAUGGCUCCUAUUAUUUAAGUGAAAGCAUGAAUAGGAAUAUUCUGUUUUGUAAAGAUAAUGUGAAAACAUUUGUAUCAAAAGACUGAUAGAGCCAAGCUAUAUGAAGUAAAUAAAGGCUCUAAUGUCAUGAGAACCUCGAGAGUGCUAUAAGCAAACUUCUGAAGGAAUAAAAUGGAAGAAGAAAUUAUGUCUUCAGGAGAAAGUCCAAACUAACUAGGACAGCAAUAUGAAGUGAAUUUUGGCUAUACAGCUUCUUUCUUUUCUUUUUUCUUUUUCUUUUCUUUUUUUUCUUUUCUUUUUUUUGAGACAGAGAGUCUCACUGUGUUGCCCAGGCUGGAGUGCAGUGGCACGAUCUCAGCUCACUGCAGCCUCUGUCUCCCAGGUUCAAGCGAUUUUCCUGCCUCAGCCUCCUGAGUAGCUGGGAUUACAGGUUCUUGCCACCAAGCCCAACUAAUUUUUGUAUUUUUAGUAGAGAUGGGGUUUCACCAUGUUGGCCAGGCUGGUCUUGAACUCCUGACCUCAGAUGAUCCGCCCGCCUUGGUCUCCCAAAGUGUUGGGAUUACAGGCAUGAGCCACUGCGCCCGGCCCUAUAUAGCUUAUUUCUUCAAUUCUUCAUAAUAACCCUAAAGGUAUAAAUUAUUAUACCCAUCUAUGGCAAAGAUUACUAGUCCCUUUCUCUACCAUAUCCAUUUUCUCUUUCAUAGAGAUAAAAAGUUUUAGCUGAGAACAUAGCUGCCCAAAAUAAAAAUAUCCCCCAGACUCCCUUGCAGCUAGGUGUAGUUUUAUACAGUUGGCCAUGUGACUGGGUUGGCCAGAAUUUAGUCACAUGGCCAACUGUAUAAAACUAGAAGCAUCAUAUGGAAACUUCUGGGAAACUUCUGAGGAGAAAACUGAUUUAUGCCUUGUUCCUUCUUCCCUCUUUUUCCUUCCCUCCUUCUUGAAGGAUAUAAUGUGUCUCCAGAGGCACCAACCUGGACCAUAAGAUGACUUCUAUAUUAGGAAUAGAAGUCAAGCAUGGCAGAUCAAAAAGAUAGGAGCCAG